UCAGGUGGCCUGGUGGCACAGUCUCCCCUCGGCCCCUCAGAAGCAGCAGCCAGCCCCAAAUGUCAUGACGAAGCAAAUCCUAUCUGCACCCCUGCUUAUGAAAUGACUUACAGUGUGAACUAUACUCCACACACAGUUGACAGCUCGCUGGCUUGGACACCACAACCGCUUAAUUUAUGUAAUUUUCAGCUGGGGAAGAAGGCUUGAAAGUAAGUAAGAGGCAAAUGACUCCUCACUUGCCACCAAAAUCCAUCUUUUCUAAUCUCUACAAAGAAGGCAAUCAUAAUCAUGAAAUUCCAAGAGACAGACAGCUACGGGAGCAGGCGGAGUUACAAUUUGGUGAUAUACCUGAGACACAGCAUACCAAUGAAGGAGGUGCAAGGACUUGUUUCUUCUGGGUGACGUUGAUAGCUCUACCUAUGAGCUGACACAGGCUUCCCGGACCUGUUAUAAGAGAGAUUUCACCUUGCCUGUUCUAAACUCUGGGGAUACGCUCACAACCAGAACAGACAAGGUCACUGCUUUCAAGGGGUUCCCAUUCUAGCCCCUGGGUGUCAAGUAAACAAAUCAACCAACAAAAUGAUAUCAGAUGAUAAGUGCUACGAAGAAAAUAAAACUGGAAGACAGGAAAGAGAGUGCCUGUGUGGUAAGGGGAGUCUCUCUGAGGAAAGCAUAUUUAAGCUGAGACCUGAAUGGCAAGAGAGGAACAGCCAUGCAAAGAUCUCAGGAAAUAACAUUCCAAACUGAAGGUACUGCGAGUGCAAAGGCCCUGGGUUCUCAUGAUGACAACAAUACCUGCUGUUAGGGAUAGUCUGUGAAGGAGAAUUGAAAUCGAGGAUUAUCAGCUGGGCAGCAGGAAGAUGAGUCUCUGUGUGCUGAGAAGAGAGACAUUGACUAUUUCUACAUCAGGAGCUCUGGAUGAAGAAGUGAUGCUCCCAAGUGGCUUCAAAAUGGUGUCAUAUUAUGUCUUGAGAGGCUAGGAUGGAGGUUGAAUGGACCUUAGUUUUUCAGAAAACAAUGAUAAGGGAAGAACUACUCAGAUGAAACACCUUCUGUUGAACUAGUCUCUUGAGGCACCUAGGAAGUAGUAGAGAUAUCUGGAUGACCUUUCCAAGACGGUUGGGGAUCUUCUUCUCUUUGUAAGGACAGUGCCAUCAUCAAGUCUGGUAAACAUCCUAUACUCAGAUGCAUAUCUCGAACAGCGAUGACUUUUACAAUGACAACCCAUGUGUGAUCAUACCAGGAACUGCUCAAGUUUUGGGGGGACUGGCUCUGGCAACAGCAACAACAAAAAUGCAUUUUUAUAAAAAGAAUAUAUAGAAUCCCUUCUAACUUCUCUCUUCAAAUCUUGCAUCUUUCCUUCUUAAUCUAUCAUUUGGCACCAGAUACAUCAAAUACAAUGUAGAAAAGUCUUUGACUUUCUAGAGAAGAAUCAGGUGUUUUGAUUUAUAUGAUUGCUCUAACUGCAUUACCCAUGUGGGAAAUUGUGGACUAAAUCAACAUGAUUAAAUCAUGUUCUGAGGGUUUGCUCGCUGCACUCUUGUUUGAGCGAUAGAGUGAAUUUGAUGAGGAAUCCAUAGCAAAUGAAAUAGAGACAUCCUUCACCAAAACAGAAUAGAUUAGCUUUUGCACUGGGAUAUUUGGCCUUGGAGUUCAUAAAUUACCUGUUGACUACAUAUAUAAUUCUCUGAUAUCCUUCAGGGAAAUAGGUGUUCCAGCAUAUCAGCUAUGCUGAGGUUUGGUAUGAUUCAACCAUUUUGACAAAUGCAUUACAAACUGGGAAAUUGAAUUUCUAGCCAACGUCAUAUCUACACCACAGCACAAUUGUUUUUAAAAAAUGAAAAAUGUGUUAGUUAAUUAGUAUCUAACAAUGCCAAACAGCUAGUCAAGAUGACUUUGCUCCACUAAAUUGAACAGUAGCUUGAGCAAAUGGUUCGAGUUAACCAACUGAUAAGGAGUUAAAUAGAUACAAUCUAUUCACAUCAAAGCAUAAGUAUAUGAUCAGACUUAGAUUAUCCGUAAUCUGCUCUCUUUUUGGCUAUAGUAGCAAUAAAUUUUGGUGCUCACAAGUAAAAAGAUGAACUGUUAGAAUAGUAAGUGUUCCAUAAAUAUUUGCUGAAACGUAGUAAAUAAAAAUAAAUAUCUACACUGAUAUUUCUGUAACUAUCAGAACAAUAGCUUAUAUUAUGACACCUCACAGGUCAAAAAUAAGUGGAUGAUAAAGAAGUGACUGAGCAGGAAAGAAUGAAAAAUGGCAACACACAGCCAAGCCCCUUUGCAUUGAGGCUUAAAUUAGUCUGGUUUACGACCAGAUCUAGCACCCAGAUCUUAAUUUCUAAACAGCAUUCUUCAAUAAAGAGGAACCUUGGAGAAAUGGCUGAUUCCAGCCCAGGGAAGAAAAAAUAAAAGGUGAGGCUAGGUCAUCUUAUGAUGCCAAAAAGUAAGACAUGCUCAGAGGUGCCUGGCUGGCUCAGUCAGUAGAGUAUGUGACUCUUGAUCUUGGGGUCGUGAGUUCAAGCUCUACAUUUAGAGCAAAAGUAAGACAUGCUCAAAAAAUGAUGGGGAUAUGUCAAAAUGACACAGAAACCAAUUGACCAAAUGUGGGACAAUUAUAGCAAUAAGAUAAACA
This is a long non-coding RNA of Leopardus geoffroyi (Geoffroy's cat), 2629 nucleotides long. RefSeq lists it as uncharacterized. The record is from RefSeq and is a predicted model, not a curated record. The transcript is spliced from 2 exons. NCBI's taxonomy places the organism in Eukaryota, Metazoa, Chordata, Mammalia, Carnivora, Felidae.